GAUGAACGCUGGCGGCGUGCUUAACACAUGCAAGUCGAGCGAGAAUUAAGAGUUGGAGACUUCGGUCAAAGACUUUUAAGGAAAGCGGCGGACGGGUGAGUAACGCGUGGGUAACCUGCCUUAUACAGGGGGAUAACAUAUUGAAAAGUAUGCUAAUACCGCAUAAGCGCACGGCAUCGCAUGAUGCAGUGUGAAAAACUCAGGUGGUAUAAGAUGGACCCGCGUCUGAUUAGCUAGUAGGUGAGGUAAUGGCUCACCUAGGCGACGAUCAGUAGCCGGCCUGAGAGGGCGAACGGCCACAUUGGGACUGAGACACGGCCCAAACUCCUACGGGAGGCUG
RNAcentral lists this ribosomal RNA (340 nucleotides) under uncultured Pseudomonadota bacterium. Its description in RNAcentral is "bacterial SSU rRNA". It matches the Rfam family "Bacterial small subunit ribosomal RNA", at positions 28 to 351 of the family's 1533-position model. The record is from RNAcentral. Lineage: Bacteria; Pseudomonadati; Pseudomonadota.